GACGAACGCUGGCGGCGUGCUUAACACAUGCAAGUCGAACGAAGAGCGAUGGAAGCUUGCUUCUAUCAAUCUUAGUGGCGAACGGGUGAGUAACGCGUAAUCAACCUGCCCUUCAGAGGGGGACAACAGUUGGAAACGACUGCUAAUACCGCAUACGAUCUAAUCUCGGCAUCGAGGAUAGAUGAAAGGUGGCCUCUAUGUAUAAGCUAUCACUGAAGGAGGGGAUUGCGUCUGAUUAGCUAGUUGGAGGGGUAACGGCCCACCAAGGCGAUGAUCAGUAGCCGGUCUGAGAGGAUGAACGGCCACAUUGGGACUGAGACACGGCCCAGACUCCUACGGGAGGCAGCAGUGGGGAAUCUUCCGCAAUGGACGAAAGUCUGACGGAGCAACGCCGCGUGAGUGAUGACGGCCUUCGGGUUGUAAAGCUCUGUUAAUCGGGACGAAAGGCCUUCUUGCGAAUAGUGAGAAGGAUUGACGGUACCGGAAGAGAAAGCCACGGCUAACUACGUG
Molecule: ribosomal RNA, 510 nt
Filed under: uncultured bacterium
Lineage: Bacteria
Description: partial 16S ribosomal RNA
Rfam family: Bacterial small subunit ribosomal RNA
Source: RNAcentral